Long non-coding RNA from Equus caballus (horse), 2128 nucleotides. Lineage: Eukaryota; Metazoa; Chordata; Mammalia; Perissodactyla; Equidae. The record is from Ensembl.
GUAUUACGUUUCCUUCUUUUUUUAAUUUAGUCGACAAUAUUUAGAAUUUAGGAAAAUUUACAUUUAAAAAAAAAUCUAGAUUUCCAACUUCAGUUGAAAAAUUGGAAGAUCUGGCAUACUUUCACCAAUGGCAAUGGUCAACUGGAGCUGAGUGGCAGCUUCCCCUCUUAGAUGGAGCACGCAAUCUCCAAUUUGCCCCAGUCCCCACUACUCCCUCUUGUAACACACCGGCUCCACUUGAAUCGUGUACCUGCCUGGUUUCCAGCUUUUUCUAGGUUUGAGCCACUUUGCUUUCCAUAAAGACGGCUUCCCAGCAGCUCUCACAAAGCCCAGAGGCCAAACUUAUCACUUGGGACCCCUCGAUUGAAAAAUACCACCAGAGUUGGUAGCUCACCACGUCCCCAAGCCACACCUGACAGCUUUCCCCCAAAACCAUUCAGCAGUUAUCAGUUUGGGCAAAAAUUGUUCUUAUUAUCAAGCCGAAUAGGAGGAUUCAAGGAGAGUGCUGAUAAAUCCAUCAGCAAGCACUCUGCCUGGAGAAGAGGUGGCCCCGGAGGGGAAGGUUGCCUCUGUCCUGUCCUUUCAGCCCCGAAGCCGGUGAGCUGGGGAGCCCUGCCAGUGGUCUGGUUGCCAUUGUAGCCUACCCGCGGCUCUCCAGCCCUCUUCUGUGGCAGUAGAGAAAGCAGCAGGCCCAGGAAACACUUUUCUGUCUCCUAAUGCAGACCCAGGCUGGCCCAGGACGAGCUUUCCUCGGAAUCAGAGGCCAGUGUCCCCGCAGACCUCGGGAGGCCAGGGCUUGGGAGGUGCUGUGCUCCUCGAUUCCAUCACCUGCUUCUGUGCAGCCCCCCGAUCAGGCUCCAACUCUCAUCCGCAGCCGAGGAGGGACGCAUCCGCGGCCGGCGGUAACGAGGGAGGGAUGCAGAGGAAGCAGGGUGCCCACACUCAGCAGGGUGCCGUCAAGUGGCCUCUGGGCUGGGGCCUCUCCGCGUGGUCCCCCUUCUUCCCGAGCAUCUCUCAGGUCCUGGAACACAGUCCCGCAGCCCCCUCGCUGGCGGUCUGUGUCUUUCCUCUGCCGGCGUUCCUGGUGGUACAGCGUCCGGCAACCCUACCCAGCCCAGUGCCUGGGAGAAUGGCACUGGAGGCCAACUGACUGAGUUUGAGUCCCAGCUCGGCCACUUAUAGGCUGUGUGACCUUGCGCAAGUUACCUGAACCCCCUGUGCCUCAGUUUCUACAUCUGUCUAUUGAGGAUAAGAAUGGCGCCUGCCUGGCUGGGGUGUGGGGGGAUGGAGGCAGGCUUAAGGAUGCCCGCACAGGCCAGCUCUGGAUCAACAUUAGUCAUCAUCACCCAGACACGCGCUGACAAUGGCUAGGAACAAAGGGACGCCAAGGCCUUGCUAAUCCUCCACGCUCACCCUCGGCACUCGGCUUUCCCCAGGCCCUGGGAUGAGCUGCCUUCCUUUCUCCAUCAGCACCUUCCCAUCCUCUUCCCUCCGUCCCAGUGGCUCUCUCCCCCUCGCCUGGUCAACCCCUCUUCCCCUCACGUCUGCGACCAGCAUCCCUCCAGCUUCUCCUUCACUCAUUCAGCAAUCAUCAUCCAGCACCUACUAUGUGGCGGUCUCUGCUUUAGAUCAAGGGUCAGCGAACUGUGGCCCUAGGGCCAAAUCCAGCUGGCCAGCUGCUUCCAUGCAGCCCUCCAGCUAAGAAUUAUUUUUACACUUUUAAAUAGUCGGGGAAAAAUCAAAAGAAGAAGAACAUUUCGUGACACAUGAAAAUUACAUGAAAUUCAAAUUUCAGGAUCCACAAAUAAAGUUUGAUUGGCCCAGGGCCACCCUCCUUCAUCGACACACCUUCUGUGGGGGCGUCCGAGCCACAGCCGCAGGAUGGAACAGCUGCAGCAGAGGCCACGUGGCCUGCAGAGGCUAAAAUAUGUAUUAUCUUACCCAGAAUGCCUGCCAAGCCCUGAUCGAAAUGCUGGGGAUACAGCCAUUAAGACAAAAACAAAGAAACCCGGACAAAAAUCUCUGGUCUUGCAGAAGCCCUUUGGGGGGCGGGGGACAGACGGUCAACAAGAGCCAUCACUAAGGGGCGCGUGUGCAGCAGUGAACAGGGUCACCGGGAAGAUAAGGC